AGGACGACUGCACUGUAUAGGAUGGAGGAGGAUGGGUGGCGCCGUGGGUGGCUCUACAUGUGACGAAAGAUGCCUGAACACGCCCCUUUCUUAGAGUCAGAGCCACCUAACUUGUGUUUGG
This is a long non-coding RNA of Thalassophryne amazonica, 121 nucleotides long. RefSeq lists it as uncharacterized. The transcript has 3 exons. NCBI's taxonomy places the organism in Eukaryota, Metazoa, Chordata, Actinopteri, Batrachoidiformes, Batrachoididae. The record is from RefSeq and is a predicted model, not a curated record.